CUAGUAACGGCGAGUGAAGCGGCAACAGCUCAAAUUUGAAAUCUGGCUUCGGCCCGAGUUGUAAUUUGUAGAGGAAGCUUUUGGCGCGGCACCUACUGAGUCCCCUGGAACGGGGCGCCAGAGAGGGUGAGAGCCCCGUAUAGUGGGAUGCCUAGCCUCUGUAAAGCUCCUUCGACGAGUCGAGUAGUUUGGGAAUGCUGCUCAAAAUGGGAGGUAAAUUUCUUCUAAAGCUAAAUAUUGGCCAGAGACCGAUAGCGCACAAGUAGAGUGAUCGAAAGAUGAAAAGCACUUUGAAAAGAGGGUUAAACAGCACGUGAAAUUGUUGAAAGGGAAGCGCUUGUGACCAGACUUGCGCCCGGUUGAUCAUCCGGUGUUCUCACCGGUGCACUCCUCCGGGCUCAGGCCAGCAUCGGUUCUCGCGGGGGGACAAAGGCCCAGGGAACGUAGCUCUUCCGGGAGUGUUAUAGCCCUGGGUGCAAUGCCCUCGCGGGGACCGAGGUUCGCGCAUCUGCAAGGAUGCUGGCGUAAUGGUCAUCAGCGACCCGUCUUGAAACACGGACCAAGGAGUCAAGGUUUUGCGCGAGUGUUUGGGUGUCAAACCCGCACGCGUAAUGAAAGUGAACGUAGGUGAGAGCUUCGGCGCAUCAUCGACCGAUCCUGAUGUAUUCGGAUGGAUUUGAGUAGGAGCGUUAAGCCUUGGACCCGAAAGAUGGUGAACUAUGCUUGGAUAGGGUGAAGCCAGAGGAAACUCUGGUGGAGGCUCGCAGCGGUUCUGACGUGCAAAUCGAUCGUCAAAUCUGAGCAUGGGGGCGAA
This 814-nucleotide ribosomal RNA is filed under the name Lasiosphaeriaceae sp. RNAcentral describes it as "partial large subunit ribosomal RNA". It matches the Rfam family "Eukaryotic large subunit ribosomal RNA", at positions 80 to 927 of the family's 3401-position model. The record is from RNAcentral. Lineage: Eukaryota; Fungi; Ascomycota; Sordariomycetes; Sordariales; Lasiosphaeriaceae.